UACGAAGGGGGCUAGCGUUGCUCGGAAUCACUGGGCGUAAAGGGUGCGUAGGCGGGUCUUUAAGUCAGGGGGGAAAUCCUGGAGCUCAACUCCAGAACUGCCUUUGAUACUGAAGAUCUUGAGUUCGGGAGAGGUGAGUGGAACUGUGAGUGUAGAGGUGAAAUUCGUAGAUAUUCGCAAGAACACCAGUGGCGAAGGCGGCUCACUGGCCCGAUACUGACGCUGAGGCACGAAAGCGUGGGGAGCAAACAGG
RNAcentral lists this ribosomal RNA (253 nucleotides) under uncultured bacterium. Its description in RNAcentral is "partial 16S ribosomal RNA". It matches the Rfam family "Bacterial small subunit ribosomal RNA", at positions 524 to 776 of the family's 1533-position model. The record is from RNAcentral.